This 468-nucleotide ribosomal RNA is filed under the name uncultured bacterium. Its description in RNAcentral is "partial 16S ribosomal RNA". It matches the Rfam family "Bacterial small subunit ribosomal RNA", at positions 28 to 507 of the family's 1533-position model. The record is from RNAcentral.
GACGAACGCUGGCGGCGUGCUUAACACAUGCAAGUCGAACGGAAAGGCCCUGCUUUUGUGGGGUGCUCGAGUGGCGAACGGGUGAGUAACACGUGAGUAACCUGCCCUUGACUUUGGGAUAACUUCAGGAAACUGGGGCUAAUACCGGAUAGGAGCUCCUGCUGCAUGGUGGGGGUUGGAAAGUUUCGGCGGUUGGGGAUGGACUCGCGGCUUAUCAGCUUGUUGGUGGGGUAGUGGCUUACCAAGGCUUUGACGGGUAGCCGGCCUGAGAGGGUGACCGGCCACAUUGGGACUGCGAUACGGCGCAGACUCCUACGGGAGGCAGCAGUGGGGAAUAUUGCCCAGUGGGCGGGAGCCUGAUGCAGAGGCGCCGCGUGCGGGAUGCCGGCCUUCGGGUUGUAAACCGCUUUCGCCUGUGACGAAGCGUGAGUGACGGUAAUGAGUAAAGAAGCACCGGCUAACUACGUG